RNAcentral lists this ribosomal RNA (424 nucleotides) under uncultured Variovorax sp. Its description in RNAcentral is "bacterial SSU rRNA". It matches the Rfam family "Bacterial small subunit ribosomal RNA", at positions 358 to 774 of the family's 1533-position model. Lineage: Bacteria; Pseudomonadati; Pseudomonadota; Betaproteobacteria; Burkholderiales; Comamonadaceae. The record is from RNAcentral.
GGAAUUUUGGACAAUGGGCGAAAGCCUGAUCCAGCCAUGCCGCGUGCAGGAUGAAGGCCUUCGGGUUGUAAACUGCUUUUGUACGGAACGAAACGGUCUUUUCUAAUAAAGAAGGCUAAUGACGGUACCGUAAGAAUAAGCACCGGCUAACUACGUGCCAGCAGCCGCGGUAAUACGUAGGGUGCAAGCGUUAAUCGGAAUUACUGGGCGUAAAGCGUGCGCAGGCGGUGAUGUAAGACAGUUGUGAAAUCCCCGGGCUCAACCUGGGAACUGCAUCUGUGACUGCAUCGCUGGAGUACGGCAGAGGGGGAUGGAAUUCCGCGUGUAGCAGUGAAAUGCGUAGAUAUGCGGAGGAACACCGAUGGCGAAGGCAAUCCCCUGGGCCUGUACUGACGCUCAUGCACGAAAGCGUGGGGAGCAAACA